GACGAACGCUGGCGGCGUGCUUAACACAUGCAAGUCGAACGGAAAGGCCCUGCUUUUGUGGGGUGCUCGAGUGGCGAACGGGUGAGUAACACGUGAGUAACCUGCCCUUGACUUUGGGAUAACUUCAGGAAACUGGGGCUAAUACCGGAUAGGAGCUCCUGCUGCAUGGUGGGGGUUGGAAAGUUUCGGCGGUGGGGGAUGGACUCGCGGCUUAUCAGCUUGUUGGUGGGGUAGUGGCUUACCAAGGCUUUGACGGGUAGCCGGCCUGAGAGGGUGACCGGCCACAUUGGGACUGAGAUACGGCCCAGACUCCUACGGGAGGCAGCAGUGGGGAGUAUUGCACAAUGGGCGGAAGCCUGAUGCAGCAACGCCGCGUGCGGGAUGACGGCCUUCGGGUUGUAAACCGCUUUCGCCUGUGACGAAGCGUGAGUGACGGUAAUGGGUAAAGAAGCACCGGCUAACUACGUG
This 468-nucleotide ribosomal RNA is filed under the name uncultured bacterium. RNAcentral's name for it is "partial 16S ribosomal RNA". It matches the Rfam family "Bacterial small subunit ribosomal RNA", at positions 28 to 507 of the family's 1533-position model. The record is from RNAcentral.